CCUACGGGAGGCAGCAGUGGGGAAUCUUGCGCAAUGGGCGAAAGCCUGACGCAGCCAUGCCGCGUGAAUGAUGAAGGUCUUAGGAUUGUAAAAUUCUUUCAGUAGGGACGAUAAUGACGGUACCUACAGAAGAAGCCCCGGCUAACUUCGUGCCAGCAGCCGCGGUAAUACGAAGGGGGCUAGCGUUGCUCGGAAUUACUGGGCGUAAAGGGAGCGUAGGCGGGUUAUCAAGUUGGAGGUGAAAGCCCAGGGCUCAACCUUGGAAUUGCCUUCAAAACUGAUAGCCUAGAGUAUGAUAGAGGUAUGUGGAACUCCGAGUGUAGAGGUGAAAUUCGUAGAUAUUCGGAAGAACACCAGUGGCGAAGGCGACAUACUGGGUCAUGACUGACGCUGAGGCUCGAAAGCGUGGGGAGCAAACAGGAUUAGAUACCCUGGUAGUCCACGCUGUAAACGAUGAUUGCUAGUUGUCGGACGGCAUGCCGUUCGGUGACGCNGCACGACAUAAGUACGAUCCGCCGCGGGAGGUACGGUCGCGAGAAGUUAAACUAACGUUAAAGAAGUAGUUAGGCGUGAGAGNGCGACGGACGACGACGAGGGAGGAGG
This 603-nucleotide ribosomal RNA is filed under the name uncultured bacterium. RNAcentral's name for it is "bacterial SSU rRNA". The stretch from base 1 to 517 matches the Rfam family "Bacterial small subunit ribosomal RNA", at positions 338 to 873 of the family's 1533-position model. The record is from RNAcentral.